Molecule: ribosomal RNA, 596 nt
Filed under: Maianthemum japonicum
Lineage: Eukaryota; Viridiplantae; Streptophyta; Magnoliopsida; Asparagales; Asparagaceae
Description: eukaryotic LSU rRNA
Rfam family: 5.8S ribosomal RNA (bases 227-382)
Source: RNAcentral
UUCGAGACCCGAACGGACAAUCGCGAACCCGUCAAUGCUCUGGCAGGGGCAGAGAGAGGGCAGACAUUUAAACCGCCCGACCCUCACCGCCCYCGCCUUGCCUCGUUGUGGGAGGGACAGCGGGAACAAUACUCGACACAAUGGGCGCCAAGGAACAGUGCAGUCGGAGAGCGUCGCACGCCAGUUUUGGCGUAUAGUACGAUCUUUCCAUACAUCUAACUUUUACGACUCUCGACAACAGAUAUCUUGGCUCUCGCAUCGAUGAAGAACGCAGCGAAAUGCGAUACUUGGUGUGAAUUGCAGAAUCCCGUGAACCAUCGAGUCUUUGAACGCAAGUUGCGCCCGAGGCUAUCCGGCCGAGGGCACGCCUGCCUGGGCGUCACGCCUCGCGUCGCUCCGCGUACCCUGCCCUCUUAACCAGGGAGGCAGUGGGCGAGGAUGCGGAGAUUGGCCCCCCGUGCCUUGCGGCGCGGCGGGUCGAAGUACGGGCCGCCGGCCGGGACGGACGCGGCGAGUGGUGGACGGACACGUACGGCGCUGAACGCCGCCUCCGCACCCGGCACCAGCGGCUCAUGCAAGGAACCCAUGCCGAGCAC